This is a long non-coding RNA of Brassica rapa (field mustard), 17351 nucleotides long. RefSeq lists it as uncharacterized. Lineage: Eukaryota; Viridiplantae; Streptophyta; Magnoliopsida; Brassicales; Brassicaceae. The record is from RefSeq and is a predicted model, not a curated record.
GGUAAUUUUUUUAAAAAUUAUUAUUUUAAAACAAUGUAUUGCUUACUUUAUAAAAAAACUAAAAAUACAGUAAAACCAAAAUUUAAAAACCAAAAACCAAAACCAAAAGCUGAAAAUCAAAAACCAAAAUCUAAAAAUUAAAAACUAAAAACUAAAAUCUAAAACCAAAAUCUAAAAACCAAAAACUAAAACCAGAAACUAAUGGAAACAAACAUCACCAUAGUAUAAUUACGGUUCACAUAUUAGGUAAAAUAAAUGUGAUUUUUUAGAAUAAAUAAUGCAGAAUAAAAAUAUAUUACAGAAUAAUAUUUAAUUUGUGAAAUUUAUUUAAUGGUACAAAAUUAAUAGUUGAUUUAUAAAAAUAAACUAAUAAUAUAGAGGCAUCAAAUAAUCAUGCAUAUUUCCAAUCCGGAUAAGUUUUAGUUUGGUUUUUAGAUUUGUGGUUUGAUUCAGAUAGUAGACCUAGAAAUUGUUUAAUAAUCAGAAAAUUCAUAUUUAAUUUGAUUCCGGCUCAAUAUUUUUUUUAAUAAUUUUGAUUAGUUAAUGUAACUCAUGUAAAAAUAGAAAGUAAAAACUUAGUAUUAAAAAAUCAGGUAUGAAGAUACUAAUAUGUAUUAAAAAUUGUAUAAAAUAAAUUCUCUAAUUUUAUAUUUAGCUAAAUACAAAGUGUAUAUUUGAAACACAUUUUAUGUAAUGUAUAUUUAUUAAUUAAUUCAUGAAUUAGAUAUUAUUUUUUAUGACAAAAAGAUAUUAUUUUAUACUCUAACAUUAUAUAAUGUUUAUCCGAAUGACAUUCACUAUUUCCCUUGCUAUUAUAAUCUCCAUAUAUUUUCUUUGCACUAUAUUUGAACUAUGUCUGACAUUCACCUUCCGCAUGCCUUACUAAUUCUAGGGGAUCUUUUGUAAUUCUUUUAAAUAAUUUAUCAAUUAUGUUUCUAUCCAACUUUGGGUCUUCUCUGCCUUUAUAGAUAUUCUCAAUUUAGUGUAAACACUGGAUUUUGUAAAAAUCGAUGGGCAGGAUGGUGUAGAUGGGAUUGUCCAAGUAUGCAAAGCUAGGAGACACUCAAAACUAGCAUGGUUUAUUGAUUCAUCUACCUUCCAUCAUCGGAACAAUGAUUAUUACAUCGCAUACGAUGACGUGUCAUAUUUUUUGUUACGGCUAAAUGAUGUUACGAUCUUCCACAUAAGAUGGUGUAUCUUAUGAAGAACACUGAUCUUUCAAGCAAAGGCUUGAAGCUUCGUGAAGCUAGGCUCUGUUACCAUUACUUCAAAUUCAGAGUUAUCAUUACUUCAAAUUCAGUAACUAGGAUAUUCCUAGCUAGCCGCCAAAUAUCAUGAUAUUAUAGUAUAUUACCAAGUCUUUGUAUAACUCCAACAUAACUUAUUCCCUCAAGCGAAUUAGCUUCCCACUUGACUCUUAAUCAGUGGUAUAUCCUCUGAUACGACAAUGCAUGUUCUCCAAAAUCUCCAUAUCUCCCUCUCCAGGCCACCAUGAAUGAAGGCACCAUCGUCAUUUAUUGAUGAAUUACUGGAACACAUUGUUUAGCAUGCCUUGCUGGAACUUUCAGAAUCCAUGGAUCUUCUUGGCUCUAAUCUCAAAACUAUAAUUACCUUCUAUCUGAUACAUAAUGCCAGUAAUUGUUAUAUUUCCUGUAAACUUCUCCAAACGUAAGAAAGACUAUCAAUAGCACCUGAUCGCAAAGGUGAACUAAGUCUGUAAAAUUUUCUUUGCAGUACCCUUGUAAGAAGAGAAUCUGGAAAUUCUAUCGGACGCCAGUAUUGCUCCAAUAAUUUUAUAUUAAAAUAAUUAAUUACACAGAAACCAAGAUCACUUUCCUGUUUUGAAUUAUGAAUGUUUUUUCCCUUUUACCCAAUGAAUCUCCUCUUAAAUCAAUUAGAGAUCCACGAGAAUCGAGCAAUAGCACUCGUUAGCUUUUCGCUAGUAGAAAGCUGGACAUAACAUAGGUUGGAAGGGAUAAUGAGAUAGAUGUUAUCAGAAUUACCUUCCCUCCUCUUGAUAACCAUGUGCAUACCAUCCAUUAACUCUAUGUUGUAGUCUAUCUUUUAGAAACGCAAAGAAUUUACAGUUAGACCCACUAAUAUCCUCUCGAAUUCCCAAGUAAGACCCCAUCCCGCCUUCAUUAUCAAUUUUAAAAGAGGUUUUGAUUGUUUUCUUUACAUAAUCAGAUACUCUCUUACUAAAGCGUAUAUAAGAAUUUUCAAAAUUAAUACACUGGUCCAAUGCCUUUCGAUAAAUCUAAACUGCUUUCAUUACUUCAUCAUUCAUGAGGCUCUGUCUUACAAAAUAAAAAGCUAUCAUCAGCACAAAUAAGGUGUGACGUCAGAGGGAUAACACGUGACACGUGAAUCCCAUUAUCUUCCCUUAAAUAUCUUCAUGAUUAAGAAUGCUAACGAUCGCUUUUGUGCAUAAAAUAAACAUGAAAGGAGACAAAGGAUCUUCUUGACGCAAUGCCCUCUUUGGUGGAAUGUUACCUCUGGGUUGGCCAUUCUUCAGAACAUGAUACUUGACACAUGUUAUACAUCGCAUUAUCAAGUUUAUCCAUGUUGCCAAGAAUCCCAUAUUUUCAUAACAACAGUAAUGAAAUCUUAUUCCCACUGAUCACAUGCUUUAUUCAUAUUUGUUUUGAUUGCCAUUAUCUUAUGUCUUCCAUCUCAAUUUGAUAUAAGCACAUGAAAUAUCUCCUGAUCAAUAAUAAUAUCACUUGUGAUAUGCUUUCAAGCAACAAAAGCUGACUGGGUUCUGAGAUACGUUUCGAUAAAAAAAUUGUUUAAUCUCGGCAUAAUACUUUUGAGAUUAUCCUGUUACUCACAGUGCACAUAAUUAUCAUACAAAAUUAUGCCAUCUCAAUAGGCUAAUCUUUUUUGGAAUGAAGCAAAGGUUUGCGCCAUUCAAUUCCUGAGCCAUAACCCCAUCAAACAGAAAUUCAUUAACCAUACAAGUUAGAUCUCCUGUCACAAUAUGCCAUAACUUCUGAUAAAGCAAUGAUGUCAUUCCAUAUGGGCCAAGAGCUUUCUCCGUAUGAAUUGCAUAAUUCCAUUUCGUAACAAGGAAAGUAAGAUCCUCGUUGAUUGAAUAUGUGAUAGUCAUAUUAGCAUUUGUUAACUCUUAUUUUAUCUCUUUCGAGUUUAAUGUCUCAAAUUAUUUCUGAAAUAACUAGUAUCAAUGGAUACUAAUUCCUCAUCAUCCUCCGUCAUAUUUAUGGAUCCAUCAUUUAGUCUCAUAAUAUGAUUCAUUGCACUUCUUUGUUUUUUUAAUUCAUGGAAAAACUUCAAGUUUCUAUCCCCUUUGUUAAGUUAAAGUACUCUACUCUUCUACCUUCAGAACAUUUUUUCUCUUUAAUAGCAUCAAAUUGUUCUUUUAAGACAAGUGCUAACUACUCAUAAGACACUUCAUCAUUCAAAUACAUUUCUCUAACUAUUUUUAGUUUCAUUUAUUUUCUUGUCUGAGUUUAAAUUAUUUUGUCUUCUUCACUGACUCAAGGUUCUGCGGCAAUUCGAUAUAUGGACCAUUAAAUAUAUAUCAUUCGGAAGUUCAGAACAUCAGCAACUCCACUCUAUUUUUUAUUUAUAAAUAUAGUUUGGAGUAAAAAUGCUUCAGUCUAUCUAUUUUUACUCUAUAAUAGAGUAUAAAAUGGGUCUAUUCUAUCAAUAAAGUAAUACACCUUUUUAUCACUUCAUUUUCUACUAUAAAAUGGAAUAUCAAUAAAGUAUAACCAAACUUGAAGAAAAUAUUCAGAGUACACCAUUAGAGAUGGUUUCAGAUAAGAUCACUUACAUAAACUUUGUGGUUUGAUAUAUUCAUUUUACAUUCCUUUUACUGUAACACAAUUUUUCUGAUUAAGGAUAUUAAUUUGGUCGAACAUAAUCAUUUUGUUUGAAAUUUUUUGUUAUUCUGUGAAAAACCUUCAAAACCUAGAAUUAACAUAUACGUUUUUGAUUAAUUUUUGCAUAUGAAUCUAUUAGUUUUUUCUUUCUUGAAUUAUUAAUCUUACAAUUUACAUAUAUGUUUUAUUUGCGUCUGGAGGAUAAAAAUAGUUCUAAUUAAAUGGAUUUCAAAAUUUUCUGUUUUUUUCCCUUAUAAUUUGCAUGGGAAUAUUUUAUGGGACCGUGAUCAUCUGGAGUAACUAAUGUUAUUUAUUAAAUAAUUGGUAUGGGCUCAAGGCGAUAAAAUUUUGUAUGUUCUUCAUCCAUUUACUUUUUAACUUAUUUUGAGGUCUAAGAUAAUAUGUACACUGAGAUAGAGACUCCCCCAUCCGGCCGUCCCUUUCUUUCAUUUAGUACCUGGAAUCUCUGCUCCACCCAUUCUCUCGUAUUUUCUCAUCUUUUCAAUAUAUAUUUCUGAUCAAGAUAUAGUGGAAAACAUUAUAGUAUGGUUCAGAUAAGCAAUAAAUGAUAAAAGAGAUAAAAGAGUAUAGUAGGAACGUAGGAUUCACUACUGACACUAAAGAUACACAUUAUAGAAUUGAUAGAGAAAGUAAACACAUAAAGUUAUAAACCGAUAAAAUUGAGCAGUAUGGAAUACUAAUAUUACAUAAACUUCAGAAAUUACUCUAUUUUAUAAUCACAAAAUUACAUACAGUUUUCAAAUACUCUUCAUCAGUGCUAUGGAAUUAAGAAUUUUUGGGAAUUCUUUUCCUUUUUGAAGUACUGAGAUUAUUUACUAUGCGUAUAAAUAUAGACAAAUACAAGACAAUAUAUAUAUCGAGCUAAAUAACUCUGGCGAUGUUGGAAAUAAAUUACACAUUUGUUUGGAGUUUCGUAAGUGAAUUUUAUAUAUUUAAUGUGAUUUUCCUCGAUAGAACUAAUUAUAUGCAUAAUUACAAAAUCAUUCUCUGAUUUAGCAACCACAUGCUAGCUAAGUUAAAGACACUUGGAAGGUAAUUAAUACGAUAACCAUGGAAGCUAAUUUUGCAAUCGUUGUCUCCCUUAGCAUUCCAUAUUUUGUUUCAUUGACGUGUGCUAAUUGAAAGAGCAAAAAUCACAGAAGAACUAACCACUCUUAAUAAGAUUAUAGUCUGGUGUAUGCAUUUACUUAUAAUAAGGAAGGUCCCAGAAGUUUUUGUAAUACAUAUAUAUAACAUAAUUAGAUUAGGUGAAGGUUAAGGAAACCUAAAUUUUGGUGUCAUUCUUGAAGUAAUAAAUAGAAAAAGAAGAUACUAAUAUAAGUUUGACCCAGAAAAAAAAUACAACUAUAAGUUUGUAAUGUGUGUUCUAUAUCUUAUAAGACCAUUACACUACCAAAAACCAGACACAUACACACGUUGAUCGUUCUAGCUCCUCGGACCUCUAACUUAUUUAUUUAUUUAUAAAGUUAAUUUUUUUUAAUGAUUUGUUCAAUUCAGUAAUGAAUGCUCCUCACCUAUGUUAGUCAAUAUGUAAUGUUUCGUGGCCUUAUGCACAUGCAGUUGUGCCGUCUAUGUGAGAAGAGAGACAGAAAGACGCAACAAGUACACUGUACUGUGAUCAUAUACCAUCAUUGGUUUCAAAUUUAUUAGAAAACCAUUACAUUUACAAAAAUAUACCUUUAUUAAGAAAAAUGAUUGUUAACUACCAGAAAAAUAAACUAGCAUAUGGUCAUAUAUCUAAACAAGUAAUAUUUCUUUCUUUUUGUCAAAAACAAGUAAUAUAUUUAAACAAUAUAAAUCACAUGACAACAUUCAUUAAUACGUUAAUACCGUAAACAUAAAUUUAAUAUCAGAAAAUAUGUUGGAUUUGAAAUUUGACAUCAUCCGAUGAUUUUUUUUGAAAAAUGGAUAAUAACACGUAACCAAAUGAUCAAAAAUAAAGUAAAACACAUAGAUUAAACAUUUAAAAUAAAAUGUUUAAGAACAUGAGAUAACGUAUUAAAACGUGUUAAAAUAUAUUAAGCAACAUCGGCGGUUCAGGUUUAGGCACUCUCACGAAUCCAUUCGAAUCCGAUAUCUUUCCCACUCAAUCGCUGUUUACGAAGAUUUCUCCGGAAUUGAAAGAUCAUCAAUUUGCAUAGAUUUUAUUAUACAUAUGAAAAUGAAGAAACAAUAAAGGUUUUAGUAAUUUGGACAUAGAUCCUAGAGAUAUUUUCAAAUUGGCAAAAUCAAAGUCUUUACUUUGGGCUGAGACACAUAUCUCAAUAACACAAUGAAUCGAGCAAACUCGAUUACCGAUACAGCGAUAGCACCGAAUAUCCCAGGUCGAUGGUGUUUUAUGGAUGAAUCAUAGAAAAAUCAGAAUUUACAUUCGGAAAAUGAUGGUAUAGUACACUAGAAGGUUUUGAUGGUUUAAUGGGAGCGAAGAAUACAAGAGCAAGUCAGCCGCCACUUCAUUCAUAGAUAAAUGUGCUUAUUUGGGCAAUGGAGUUUAUGAAGAAUUUAAAACAGUUUUCUAUUAUAUUUGUAACGGAUUGUUCUCAGUUGAUGAAAAUUGUUUCGGAACCAGAAGAAUGACCAGCUUUUGCAAGUUACUUAGAAGACAUAUAAAAGUUUUGAAAAGAAGUUUUAACAGCUUAGAGCUCAUUCAUAUAUCGCGAACGCAGAAUUCAAAGACGGACAGUAUUGCACGCAGUGCAAGAAAAUAGUCGUCUUUUGUUGUCCAUAUGGAUAUAUAGCUACGAGUUUGGUUUGCAGAAUCAUAUGUUAUGUUGCUGACAAAAAAAAUAUUAAGCAACAUUGGAAAUUACCGGUUUAUAAUUCAAUACACUUUUAUAGCUAUAAAACUAUAUUGGUGUUUUUAUCAACAUAACACAUAAUAUUUCAUGAAUGUUGUCAUAUUCAUGUGGUUCAUAUAGUUCGUGUAGUUUUUAAAAAUUAUUUUCGAGACUACCAUCAUUUGGUUAAAAAUUAUAUAAGUUGUACUUUAUUAUAAAAUAUGUUUAAAUUUUAAAAUUACUACACAAUAUAUGGAUUUACAAAAAAAUACUGAAAACAACUUCUAAGCCUUUAAAUCAUAUAUUUUAAUCCAGAAAGAAUAAAUAUCAAACUUUUUCUGAUCAAACCAAUAGUUACAUGAUUAAUUAAUAAUUAAAACAUUGAUAACAAAGAUUAACGUUAGAAGAAGAAGAAAAUUCAAAACAAUUUUUUUUAUUGGCCAAACCAUUCUAGACAACUGUUUAAUUGUCCGCUAAAACCUUUCGUUAACACAUUGCUCACUACUACACUUAAUUCUUUGAAUGAAGAGGAAAUAUAUACAAUUUUUUAUGUUUAGUUUCUAUAAGCAUUGCCAUCUCUUACAUACUCUUAGAGUAUAUAAAAUAUAUAUAUAUAUAUAUAUUUAUAUUUAUAUUUAUUUAUUUAUAUAAAUGUAAUUUAAUUAAAUUUCAGUUUAAAAAUAAAACUUUAGCCAAUCUAUGAGAAACAAGUGUUUUAUGGAGUUUUAAUGAAUUUUUCAAAAACUAUCGUUUGAGAUUUCAUCUUACUUUUUCAUUAUUUUCUUAUUUUGUAUGAAACAUUUUAUGAAAACUUCUCAAUGGAGAUUUUUUAUAAACUGAUUUAACCCAACUUCGAGGUGGGAUCUAUAUUUUUCCAAGAACCAUCUAAUUUACAAGUAAGGUAUUUGGUUACCUCUUUCCAUAUCACCAUUCCCACAUAUGGUUGGAAUUUAGCUGUAUUAGUAUAUGAUUGUCAAUUCAAAUAAAAGAAAAGAGAAAAUAAAAUUAAUUUACAUUUGAAUGAAGAGAGGUCCUAUUGUGGACAAGAAGUUGGUCAAGUGUAAGAAAGGCAGAAAGAAAUUGAAGCUUUGUUGCUGAUGGUUAAAACUUCUAAAGCAUCACGUGUAAGACUUUCUUGUCUUCGUUCUCUUGUAGCUAUAUUCACUGAGACGGCCACACAACCAUGUUUUAAACUUGGAGUUGUUUUUUGCUUUAUUUCAAUCAAUAUGAAGAAUUCACAAGAUACUAAGAAUCUGAGAAAAUUUUGUAUCUCUUAAUUCAAACAAGGAAAAGAAAACAUAGAAAAUAUAAAUAUAUUUGGCUUAUUAAUGUCAAAAGCGAUAGCGAUUUAUCAAAAACAGAUGGAGAACAUCCACUUUCCGUAAUUUUCAAUAUAUGAAUUAGACAACUCUAAAUCAAAAAGUUGGUCCACGAUGCAUUUAUAGACUUAUUAUCGUAUGGAAGAAAUUUUUUUAUCAAUAUUUAUUAAUAAUUACUGUAAUAUCAUUUGUGCAUGACAGCAGGAACAAAAAUUAAGUAUUCGAAUCUGAGCAGUACGCAUCAAAGUCAUGCGCGACACCAAUGGUGUCCACCUAUAGCGUUGGUGUCCACUUAUUGAUAUAUCGACACACACACAUUUUGGCAUACGUAUACAUAAAAUAUACAAAUGUUUGUACAUGUGUACGUUGCAUAUAUAUUGUGAGUACUUUUUUUUUGGCUAAAAAGAGAGUUUUCACCUCUUUGCCGAAAACCCAAACAUUGUAAAUAGUCUUUCCUACCGUGAGUUGAAUCCAAGUGGCAGAAGUUACAGCCGCAACCCCUUUACCACUAGGCCAACUCAAUAUUGUGAGUACUUGCUUUGCUAUACAUAUAUAGAUGACGAACUGUGACCCAUAGUGACUUUAACUCUUCGUCUGAUACUUUAUAAUUUCGUUUGAAAGGCUGAAGGAUGGCUUUAAAAAAUACCCUCGUGGGUUUUGAUAAGGUUAACCAUUAAUUACUCAGUCACAAUGUCUUUUACAAUGAUUAUCAAGCACUAUAAAAUAAACACCCAGAAUAUUAACAGAAUAAUUGUAUAGAUAUUUAUACUGAAUGAAAUGUAGCUGAAUAAAAUCUAUAAGAUUAUGAUUAUCAAGCCAUAAACUUUCGCAUCACCACAUUCUCGGCUUACAUGAUUGCAAAUCAAGAUUUGUAUAAUUUCAACGGGACCACCAAUAUUCUAGGGUUUAUACAUUAAAAAUGCGAAUACUUAUGUUGCAGGAUGGAUCAUGGUAAUGUGUUAAUACAACACAAAGACUACUUGUGGCCUGAUAGAGAGAAAGAGGUGGGGGAAAAUGAUGACAUAAGAAUGUGAAAUCAAUAGUUUUAUGAAAGGGACUAAAAAUGAUAGAGAAACGGAAAAGAGGUAACAAACAUAUUAGAGCAUCAGCAUUAGUGAACCCCUUGGAAGGGGUUCACAAAGCAUUUUUUUAUUAUUAUUUUUUUUCUGUUUGAUUUUUGUUUUAAAAAAAAAAAAAAAAAAAAAAUUUAUAACCGGACCAACCGCGGGCCGCCACGUGUCGUGGGGCCCGCGCUACAGUGAUGAUCCGGGUUCAGUGCAGUGAACUUCUAAGAGGGAGGUUCAUUGCUUUUGUUUAUUUUAAUAUUUUUUUUUUUUCGAAAACUGUGUGAACUCCCCAUGGAGUUCACUAAUGCAGAUGCUCUUAAAGCUCCUAUGGGUUGGAGGACAAUAUGACUGAGAUCUCUUAUUGUGGGGUUUUCUUUUUAGAUAGAGACAGUUGUAAUUGGAUCCAUCACUUUCACUUCUAUCUUACUUCUUACUUUUUUGUCUCCUUUUUUAUUAGAUUCUUUCUUUUCUUUUUUUCUCUUGUUCUCACUUCUUUUCAUUCUACCAUUUGCACCAAUGUACAAUCCUAUAUUGUAAUAGUAUUUUUUUUUAAUAAGAGGGUUUUCAAAACAAAACUAAAAUAUGGUACUUUAAGAAACCCCUAAAAUUUUUCAUGAUACUAAUUUCAGAUUUUAAAAACCAUACUAAAUAUAAUUUUGUAUAUUUAGUGUUCCAAUAAUGAUACUUUAGCUGUAUUAAACUACUAUGUAUAUACAUAAUGUUAUUUUGUUGUUAUUGCUAGAAAAAAAUAAUUUGAGUGGUAAUUGAAAACGAUUCGAAAAGUAAACAUAAAUGUAAAAAAACCAUUAAUUGUAGUAUAUGCACCUAUAAUAGUACUAAGGUGGCUAAUGCUUUGUCCUCCGCAAAGGGCCAAAUAAAGCUUCGUGAUAUAUACUUUGGUAAGCAUUUCUUCUCCCUAACAACCAACCAAAGACUUUGGGCUAAAGAUACUACCCUCGCAUAGUUAUCAACACUUUAUUAAAUUAGUAUUUUUCUUAAAUUUAGAGACCAAAAUGUCAUUUCAAAUGUCAAAAUAAUGGCACUUCAUUUACUUCGCUUAGCAAAAAGUAUUUAUUAAGUUUCAAUUUUCUUUACAGAAAGGAUGGCACAUGGGAGACAUGGUCACGGUGUAGGCAAUAUCUUCUUCUAUUCUAUUCUAUCUUCUCAUCAAAUCCAUCUCCAUCCAAAACAUGUUUAAAUCCAUGGAAUAAACCAAAUCCAUUAAAAUGUAUUAACACCAGCUAGUUUCCAUUUCACUUAAGUAAAAAUACUAGUUUUUUUUAAUUAACGAAAGGAUAUCCCGAAUCUAUGGAAGAGCUCAGAUUAAUUUUCAAAGAAAAAUACAGUUCACAUAUAAAUUUCUUUUUGGAUAUUCAAAUAGAUCACAGAAAAAAAAAGAAUCCAUAUCCGUGUAACCACAUGAUGGAAUAUAGUAAGGGUGCCUUUAAAUCUGAAUUACUUAGCAAUCCAAACCCCGCAUACCAUUAAACCACGAUUACUUUGUUCAAAAUGCUAGUUUUAUUUACUUGUUAAUGCAAUAAUUUUGCAGUAGAUUAAAAUCACUUUUAAAUUACUAUAGAUUUCAACGUAAAUUCAAUUUUAGACACACCAACUAUCCAAUAAAAAAUAGUAAUAAUAAAUAUGCGUAAUCGUGCUCGGCCAAAGUUUGACCAAAAAAAAGACACACCAACUAUCCAAAAAAAAAAUCAUCUAUGGACCAUAAUAACCAUAUUAUUAAAUAUUAAUUGAUGUAACAUCUAAACAUGCGUACAAGACCUAUAACUCAUCUGGUUUAGUGUUGUCGUGGAAUCGUCAUCUGGUUUAAAACUUACAUAAAAUUUCAUUAAAAAGAAAAGAAGGAAUCUUGUGAUACUGUAUACAAUAUAGAAAGCUAUUUUCUUCAACGAUAAGUUGAGCUACAAGUUACAUAUUUUUCUCAACCUUUUGUGGCAAGUUAUAUGGAUCAGAGUGAAUGAAAUAUAUCUGUCUUGAUUUUAAGACUUUUGGACCACUUCAACAUUUUGGAGUUUUGUAAUUCAUAACAAGAUGUUUUCUUUCUUAACUUAUAUAUACAUAUUUAUUUUACUGCUAGACUACUAAUGUGGUAAAGUGUUGUUUGUUUCUUAAAAAAACCAUAAAAUACAACUACUUUUCCACAUUUUACCUUCUGCGACAUCACAUAUAUCAGUCUUCUGUCUCUCAGUUCUAGUAUUUUUUAAAAGUGGAUUUUCAAAGAUUUAGCUUCGUGGAGUUAUGUACCACUCAAAUAUUAAACAACAAUAUAAGAAAUUUGUUUCAAUAUCCGUUAGUAGUAUAAUCAUCUUUUCUUGUAUAUAGAUCAGGAGUGUGAUUUGAGCUUAGAUUUUCUCCUUGGGCUUCAACCCAUUUGGUUUUGGAAUAUUUUAUGUUUUAUAAACACUCAAACGAUGAGAAACUAAUCAAUACAAUACUAAAAAAGGGAUAAUCUCAACUCUUAGCUAUGCCACGUCAUCAAAAAUAAUCCUCCAAUCAUAGCUCUUUAUUUUUGGGUUGGGCUUCAAAUCACAAUUGAAUGGGCUUUGUUUCACUUCCGGGUUAUGGGUCGAAUGUGUUUCGGUUUUGUCAUUGUUUUGGUUUUGUCUUUUAACUAAGUCGCGAGUCUGCGAGUUUCUUCUCCUCAUCCCCAAUUCACUUCGUCUUCUCACUUUCAAACCGUAGCUUCUAAGUUUUUUCAUCCUAUUCUUCACAAUCAAUUUCGCAAUCAAUCUCUUCUUAGCGAAGGAGAUGAGGAAGAGAAGCGCGAGAAAGAGGAGAGCCGAGGCAGGGCCACCACUGGUGCCCGAUCCGAGAGAGGAAAUUGGAGGCAAGGAGGUAGAUGUGGGGACGCUUGGUCUUGGAUUCGUCGGCGCCGGAUUCGCCGGGAUAAGAGAGAUCGGCGUCGGAGUGAGGACGGCGGAAGGAGAGCGCGCGAUCGAGCAUCGUCGUCGCGUUGGCCCGUAAACCCAUUAACGAGACCUAAUCAGAGAGCGCACCACCAAACCGUCACGAGGAUCUCUAUCUCCUUCUCUGUUGCGCAGGAGACGAUCUCCAUCUCUAUUCGUCCUUUCCGAACCUGAGAAACGUGAACGGAGAUGGUACCUUUGUCAUUAUCUCAACAUAAUCUCUGGCCACCGGAAUCUGUAUCUACGGUGUUUUGGGGUUACGCAACCGCCACAUCAAAACACGCCUGCGACCAUCUUCGCCGUCACCUCCGACUUGGCUUCCAUAUCCGCUCUUCCCUUCAGAUACUGCUGCAAGUCUAUGAUGAUGCACGAACGGAGUUCUCAAGAAGAGUCGUUGUAUUCAACAGGGCUAAGUUUCUUCACUCCAGAGAUGAUAUCAGAUCUUCGUUAUAUGUAUGUUUCUUUAGUGGAUGAGAGAGUAGGAUAGGUCCUAGAGGUGAGGAGGGGUCAUCAUCAAACCAUGAGACAUCCAAGAGAAACACAAGCAGUGGACGGAGGUGGACCAAUGUCCUCCUUGCCGUUAACGUUAUGUAAUGUGUUUAGUUCUUCACUCUGUUACAUGUAACAAUAAAUCAUGUCUUUUGGUUUGAGAUGUUGCAUUAGAUAAAUGCUUUAGGCUUAUGGGUUUCAUUCUUGUGUCAUGACAGAAUGUAUUUGCACAAGUUGCAUCCAAUGGUAGAGUGCUGACAUGGGGAGCCAAGGUAUCAUAUUCAGAGACUUGAUUAAAUACAAGAGGGAAACAGUUUGAUAUCUGAAUAUCUCUGUUCCAUUUCUCUUAAUUCUAUCUCCAAUGAAAUUUUUUGGUUCUUACGAUAAGCCAACUCAUCUAAUAGCUUUUACAGAUUAAACGUUGUUUGUUCUCUUCUUACUGCUUGCUCGAAACAGGUAUGUUAAUUAUUUUUUUUGGUCCUGUGGAAUUUCAGGGCUUUGUUUUUUUUUUAAUAAGUUACAAUGUUUAGAUUAAGAGUUUUGAAUUUAAUGAGUUUGGUGGAAGCUCAACGUUGGCUGCAACUCUUACUUGGGACAAUGAACUGUCCUGGACACUGGAGAAUACUACUGAAGAACUUUAAGAGACUAUGCUUUAGGUAAACCUAGAACAAAAUCUGCUUUUAAGUUAUUGAAUGGUCUUUACACUAAAGAGAAUUUUGUUGUGUCAGGUUUCUUCUGUUGUUAUGAGGUUACGUAUAGGGAGUCUCUAGGAUUAUAUGUUCUUAGCAAGAAUUAUGUUCCCACAAAAGGAUCGCAUUACACUGCUGUAAAGAAGGCUUUGGAGAUGAUUAAGCAAAAUAUUUCAUCUCUUAGUAAGGUAGUUUAGUGACCAGUGUCCGUCUCUAUUCUUGCACUGUUAUGAUUAGCUUAACUGAUGCUUUCUGUUAUUGUUUGACAGAGUGAAGGGCAUGAUGCUUAUCACUUCUCUCUGCAACUAACUGGUGCACCAGCUCUUAUCGGGAACACGAUAUGUAUAUAAGUAGUCUCUUGGUGAAUUAUGUUUGAUUCACAUAUCUUGAAGAAAUUUUGUUAAAGAUAUGUGCAUUUUGUUUGACAUACAUCUUUGUGCAAUCACCUGAGAGGAUUUUCCAAAGGAACCGGUUAGGCGUCCGCAGUGAAGCUUUGACUGCAACUAGGCCUCGAGCUGCUUCAACUGCGUGUGAUAUCGAGAUAUAGCGUUACUUACUAACCAGGUGAGUUUUUAAUUCUACUGUUUUAAAAAAUCACAUAAUCCCAAGCCCUUUUUUCAUUGAAAUUUCCGGAUAUGCAUACUGAUUUGGUUUACCAAAUUGCUGCAGCCCUAAAGAUGACUUGAGUUUCCAGAUAUUCCUAUUGCUCUGCAUCUUUUAAACCUUUUGUCUAUAGUUAGUUUGAAUUUUGACUCUUUAACAAGUGUACUGACACAUGUUGUAUUAUCAUAUUUCUUCCUUUCAGUCUAUAUGUGAGAAAAAACUGUGAAGAAGCUUGCAAGAUUGCAGCACCUAUAUUCUCAAUUGGCGGAGAAGCUGAGGAGAGAAGAUGACAAGGUGAGAUAAUAGUAUUUGAAUAAUUUUACAUAGCAUGAUCAUCUAGAUAGCUUGAAGUUAAGGGUUGUGAAUGUUAUCUCCAGGUUUUUCUUUUCUUCACAGUUGGUUUGACUCCUUUGUGUUUUUAUCUACAGUUUAACGUCAUCUUGGCUGCUUUGCAUCCAACUCCAGCUGUUUGUGUGCUUCCAGCAGAAGAAGCCAGACUUUUGAUCAAGGAAAUUGGUGAAAUAUUAGCUGUUUGUAACAUAUUUUUAUAAAUGCACUUCUCUACAACCAGAGCCAAACCGGUCAGAUUGUAAGCUUGCCUUAUCUCUGGGAAGAGGAGCUCAUGUCCUAAACUAAAGAAUCUUUCAUUAGGUUGCAGUAUCUGUAUCUUUUUUUUUCCAUCAUAUCCACCAUCAACUAACUUGAGUAUAGAUGUUCCGAAACAAUAACAAUGAGGAAAAAUAAGGGCUUUAUGAUUACCGAUCCUGUGAAGAUUGAAAAAAUAGUUAUGAAUGUGGUCUCCCCGAAUCCCCAAAGCAGCUUGAGCAGUAACGAAGUGGGAAAACAAAGCCUCAAGGCUUUUGCUGGUCAGGUAUUGUAGAUAGGACGAGUCCUUUGAUUAAUACAUUGCAACACGUUGAUGGUACCAAAAUAAUUAUUACUUAAUAUAGCAUUCACAAGAAUGAUUUUUCUGGUUUAAUCGUAGUUCUUUUUCAAGUACCCGUCAAUUACAUCUCCAUGCUGCAUAACGUACAAGGAACAAAUAAGUUAUAGUGUGUGGUUAUCUAACCUAAAUUAAAAAGAAUAAUACAAGUACAUUCUUUCACAACUUUUCGUGGCAUUUCAACAAAGAAAAUUCCAGUAAUAGCCGAGUUAACAUGAUAGAAAUAUAACAAGCAGCAUAAGCUCACUUUUAAUUAAAUUUUUUUUAGUAACAUCUAUUUUGAAAAUUACAGUUGUUUUGUGGAUAACAUAAUUCAUUUCAUUUUCAAAUAUGAUAGCAAUACUAAAUUUGAACAAAAAAAAAUUUAAAAUUUCAAAAUAUGCAUACCUAUCUUAACCUUUUUUUUCUAUAACUGUGAAAACAAUUAUAUCGCAAUAAUCAAAGUUCUAAUUUAAAUAUACAGAGGAAAUACUAAUUGUGAUUAAGAAACAAACAUAAAUUACUGAGAAAUAGUUUAAGUUAACUCACGACAAAAAAAAGAAGUUUAAGUUAACUCAGUCGACGGUAAUAUUUUAAAAAUAUUCUAUUUGUUAUCAUAUUCAAAUUAGAAAAGACGUUUACAAAAAUGAAUAAAAUAUUUUCAUAGUGAACGCGGUCAUCUAUAUAGAGUUGGGUAUAAAAUCCGACACCAAAUCCGUUGAUUCAAAAUACUAGAACCUAAAUCAGGUUAGAUCUAUAAAAGUAUUGAACGGAUAUUAAGUUGGAAGAGAUUAGAUAACUGAUCUCGAUUAGAUAAUUCCCAAUAUGUAAAGGUAAUCCAAAUAUAUCUGAAAUUAUAUAAGGUGUCACCCUUGAAUAUAUUUAUUUCCUCAAUUUCAAAUAUUAUGUGUCUUUUUCUGAUAUAUUAAGUAUUUUGAUAAUUUAAAAUUAAAUUAAAUUUAUCAAAUCAAAUUGUUAGAAAAUAACAUGUCAUCUAUAUUAGAGCAGGGUAUAAAAUCCGGCACCAAAUCCGCUGAUUCAAAAUCUUAGAACCUAAAUCAGAUUGAGUCUGUAAAAGUACUGAACGGAUAUUAAGUUAGAAGAGAUUAGAUAAUUGAUCUCAAUUAGACAAUGCUCGAUAUCUAAAUGUAAUCCAAAUAUAUCCUAAAUUAUAUAAGAUGUUACCCUUGAAUUAGUUAUUUUGUCAAUUACAAAUAUUAUAUGUAACUAAAAUAGUGCAAGUUCAGUGAUUUCAAACAAAAAAUAUAAAUCUUUGAAUAUCUCCUAUGUUAGAAUAGUGAUGAAGUAUGUUCUCAUAUUUUGUACGUGUAAUACAUGGUUCAUUUCUAUCGCAACCAGAUGGACCUACUAUGAUUAAUAAUUUUUUUCAUGAUAAUCUAACAUAUAAAAUAAAAAAAUACUUGGAUAAUAACUUAUAUUUAAUUAUUCUUUAUUCAUUUCACAUUUGCUGAUUUUUCUAUAUGUAUUUUUAUAUGAUAAAAAUGAUAAAUUGUCUUUUUUAUUUAUUUCUAAAGAACUUAGCCCUGUUGAAUACAACGACUCUUUUUGAGAAAAAAGUCUUGAGGGAAUUAAAAAAGUACACACAAGUUUCUAUGUUUACAUAAGUCCAAGAAAAUAACAUUUCAUCUACAUUGCAAAAAACUAGAUUAAAUACAUUUCCAAUUGUCUAACUCGGGCGUAGCCCGGAAAAAGUUUCUAGUGAAAAUAAUGAAUCAUGUACAUCAUCUACCGUGGCAGAUCUAGAAACCUUUUUAGUUUGGGGCACAAUGUUAUAAAAAUAUUAUAAUAAUUUAAAUAUGUAAUUAAUACUAAAAUUUUACGUACAAUAUUAUAUAUUAAUCACGUAAUAACUAUAAUGUUACUUCAAAUUACUAUGCAAUAUUUUUUGUCCAAAAGAAAAUACUUAACUUAUCUUAGAAGAAACAGUAAUAAACUCUUGUAUAAAAAUUAUAGGAAGUUGUUUUAAAGAAAAUGUAAAAACAAAUGCAAAACUAAUUUAAUUCACGAACAAAACAGUUAUAAACUACAUAAAAAGUUAUUUCAUUAAUAAUUGGGUCCGCAAAUAAAUAAAUGAGAGAAAGCUAAUUAAAAAGAAAGAGAAAUGUUCAAGUUGGGCGAGAUCGAACCUUCACGCUGCGUUUGUGGUGAACAUACAAUUCGCCACUGAACUAACCCGACUUGUACGUUAACACAUCCGAUUUUAUUUAAUUACUCGGGGUCACGUGACCCCGUACUGGCCAACGUACGUCCGCCCCUGAUCAUCUGUAAAAAAAAAUGUACAUCAUUUGUAAUUGUAAUUGAUAUGUGUUGUAAAAUCACCUUUUAAUUCAUACUCUCGCAUCACUCACUAACCGAUAUCAAACUUUGUUUUACUCAUUUUUUCUGGAAUUGAAUCAAUAGUAUAUGAUAAGAAUAUUAGAGAAAGAAACUCAAAGAACACAAGUGAUUUGUCGUAUUCGGCCUUCGCUGUCAAAACGACAUUAGUUUACUUACAUUAGAAUUCCCAGAAUAUUCACUCACCAUAAAAAAAAAGUAUUUAUAAACUUUUCGCUUUACACUUUUAAGAAAAAAUACAAAGAUAAAGAAAAUUCACGCUACUACUCAACUCGAAGUAAUAUGCUUAUAUAUCAUUCCCAACAAGUUUUUGUUGAUCUCACAUCAACUAUAUUUAUGUUGU